UGCCCUAUAAAGGGUAUGCAUUCAUAGGUGGGAUGCUUGCUCACAAAUUUUCUUAUUCCUAGAGUAUUGCAAUAUUGUGGUAAUGUGAAUGGAACAAUGUAUAGAUUGACUGCUAUAUCAAUAAUUUUGCAUACUAAUAUAGGGGCAUAUAACUAAGGUAUUUUUGUAUGUAUGCAGAAAAUUAUGCUGGUUCAGCUAUAUUUAUGUACAACGCAAUGCAGCACGUUGAAGGAAAGGCAUGCAGGUGUACCAAGGUAUGCUCAAUUCUCAUAUGCCCCUCUCCUAUUGAUGUCAUGUCCCAUCACUGGGCAUACUGUAUUGAAGGCUCCAAGGUUCAGAUUUUAGUCACCCAAAGAUAUCAUCAAUCACUUCUCGUCUUAUUAGGUAAUGCUGCAUAGAUUAGUUUUCUUCUGCCCAACAUAUUCACAGAAUAACAGUUUUAACAUGCCGCUGUCAUCUAUGCAUUCUAAUUUUCGUUAAAUUUGCAGUAAGUGGGUUGUGAUGAACAAGAUUACUAGAAAGCCUGCAAGAAUUCCGAAUGCAAUAUGGACUGAAUAGAGCCGUACUUUUUUAGCAUGAUGCUAUUGAAGAUGAACACCACCGAAAACUUCCAAAACUGCCAGGGCAUGACCGUGCUACCUCAACCAAAUAUGUCCGAACAGGCCCGACAGUAAGUUUUGCACACACACGCACGCACACACGCACGCGCGCGGGCUGAUCUUGGUACGAAUCAGCAUGUCAAUAAUGUUAAAUACAUUGGCUGGAUCCUUGAGGAUAAAAUUUCGCUUCCAUGUGCAUCUUUAUUGAUUGCUGAGACACACAAAAUUUCUUCUUGAUUUGUAGUUAAGUAUGAUACUUUUCAGAAGCUAUUUUGAUUUAAUCUUAUAUCUGUGAACACUCCAUGGAGGUUGCCCAAUGCUUUCUGUUGCCAAGCAUUCUUUCACGAGGUGUGAGGUGGUGGACCACCCUGUGGAGGCCAAAGGGAACCAAAAAUCUCAAGAAUACACACACUGCAUAUGCAUGGAUGAUAUGUCUAUAUACACAGAAAGUGUGUGAAGGCAGAGGAGAUAAGAAGAGUACAAGAAAAUGAUCAAAAGCAGAGAAGACCAAGAAGGCCUCUGGUGCAUGCUUUGUCGGUACACUUUCUCUUUCCAUUUCCUUUCUUUUAUAUCCCCUAUAAAGAUCUUUGAGUUACAUGAAUGGGUGUUGUAAUUAUUGAGUUUGUAGCUAUUGUCGUCUAAUGGGAAGUGAAUGCUUCUCACACUCUGUCUGUCUGGUGCUGUGUAUAUUAAUUACGAGGCCUUAAAAGCAACCUGUCUUAUUGAACUUUGAGCUCAAAUAUUGUACUAUAUUGUUUUAUUGUAAAAUUGAGAUCAGUUCUUAUUCUCUGAUUGUUGAUGAAACAUGUUGAAACUUCAGUCUGUUUCUCGAACUUCGAAAUGGUGUGGAUGCUACAUGAUUUUAAGAGUUGCCUUGAUUUGCUUAGCUGGAGUAGGCAACUUGAUGUGGGCAAAUGACGGGUUCACAUGCCCAGUUUAUUUUAUUGGGUUGACCCAUCAAAUCUGAGAAGCAAUUUCUGUGCAAGAACCUACAGCCUACUUGGCCACAAAAACUGUCAGGUGUCACCUGCAUGUUUUUGACAAUAAUCCAUGAUCUGUUGCUUAUCAAGGUGCUGUUUCUAGACUUCAUUUCAGAAAUGAUUCUGAUGCAACUUAUGGACUUCUACUCGGCAUUCUUUUAGUUUGAGCAUUGUAGGAAUGAUUCAUUUCUUAUUAUGUGAAGUAUAAGCAUGAAUAGCUUUGCAUCAGUACUAUACUGAAAAACAGAGCCCAGAGGUGAGAUGGCUAACCUGAUACGGUAGCUAACUGUUCGAGAGGCUGGGAGUGGGCCUAGCUGCUACGGUCGGCUGAUCAUCUGUUGAUUCAUCCAUUCAGAGGAGGCCAUCUCAUGGGAGUUGGCCUUCCAGAUCCAAGAACAAUAUGUAUGAGCUUUCGUGCUGAAUAUGCAUACAGUUAUGCAGUAUGUGCAGUUUGCAUGCUCCGAGUUUUCUGGAUGGUGAUUUUGAAAUAGUCCGCCCCUUCUUCACAGUUCCGUUCUGUAGUAGUGGCAUUUUUCUCUGGUCCAAUUAUUGGAUCUUUAUUUGGUCUCCGAUCAGGCAGAACAUUUGUUGUCUUUCAGAGGUACCAGGAUGUGAUUGAUGUCGUCUAUCUUAGUUCACUCAUUUGUUUUUGUUCCUUGAUUUGAAAUACAGACAUGAAUAGCAUGCAUAUUUGUUUGGUGCAUAAAAGAUCUCUAGGUUGUUCUCAGCAUCCAUAUAAUUAUAUUCUCAAACCAAAAUUGAUGAUGUUAUUAUCCGCUCUUUAUCC
RNAcentral lists this ribosomal RNA (2366 nucleotides) under Triticum aestivum (bread wheat). RNAcentral's name for it is "partial small subunit ribosomal RNA". Lineage: Eukaryota; Viridiplantae; Streptophyta; Magnoliopsida; Poales; Poaceae. The record is from RNAcentral.